AGCAGCCGCGGUAAUUCCAGCUCCAAUAGCGUAUAUUAAAGUUGUUGCAGUUAAAAAGCUCGUAGUUGAAUUUCGGGGUUAGUAGGUUGGUCAUGCCUCUGGUAUGUACUGGUCUCACUGAUUCCUCCUUCCUGAUGAGCCGUAAUGCCAUUAAUUUGGUGUUGCGGGGAAUUUGGACUGUUACUUUGAAAAAAUUAGAGUGUUUAAAGCAAGCUAACGCUUGAAUACAUUAGCAUGGAAUAAUGAAAUAGGACGUUCGAUCCUAUUUUGUUGGUUUCUAGGAUUGACGUAAUGAUUAAUAGGGAUAGUUGGGGGCAUUAGUAUUCAAUUGUCAGAGGUGAAAUUCUUGGAUUUAUUGAAGACUAACUACUGCGAAAGCAUUUGCCAAGGAUGUUUUCAUUAAUCAAGAACGAAGGUUAGGGGAUCGAAGACGAUCAGAUACCGUCGUAGUCUUAACCAUAAACUAUGCCGACUAGGGAUCGGAUGAUGUUAAUUUUUAAUGACUCAUUCGGCGCCUUAA
RNAcentral lists this ribosomal RNA (520 nucleotides) under uncultured Glomus. Its description in RNAcentral is "SSU rRNA". It matches the Rfam family "Eukaryotic small subunit ribosomal RNA", at positions 569 to 1091 of the family's 1831-position model. The record is from RNAcentral. Lineage: Eukaryota; Fungi; Glomeromycota; Glomeromycetes; Glomerales; Glomeraceae.